UUCACUUCUCAAGCUUUUGGCUAAGAUCAAGUGUCAUAUCUGUGCUUAUCAGUUUAAUAUAUUUUUGAUCAGAGGACUUCAUAUUAAAUGGGGUUUGGGGCAUGGGAGUUCGAUCUGGGGCUUGCUCCCUCCACUUUGCACAUCAUCCUGGUAUUGCAGUGCCUCCAGGAAUGAUGCACCCUGU
Molecule: small nuclear RNA, 184 nt
Organism: Pogoniulus pusillus (Red-fronted tinkerbird)
Lineage: Eukaryota; Metazoa; Chordata; Aves; Piciformes; Lybiidae
Product: U2 spliceosomal RNA
Exons: 1
Source: RefSeq, a predicted model, not a curated record